RNAcentral lists this ribosomal RNA (229 nucleotides) under uncultured bacterium. Its description in RNAcentral is "partial 16S ribosomal RNA". It matches the Rfam family "Bacterial small subunit ribosomal RNA", at positions 568 to 796 of the family's 1533-position model. The record is from RNAcentral.
CGUGUAGGCGGCAAAGUAAGUCGGGUGUGAAAGCCCUCGGCUCAACCGAGGAAGUGCAUUCGAAACUGCUUAGCUUGAGUACGGGAGGGGGGAGUGGAAUUCCCAGUGUAGAGGUGAAAUUCGUAGAUAUUGGGAGGAACACCAGUGGCGAAGGCGACUCCCUGGACCGAUACUGACGCUGAGACGCGAAAGCGUGGGGAGCAAACAGGAUUAGAUACCCUGGUAGUCC